Molecule: ribosomal RNA, 729 nt
Filed under: Pseudomonas aeruginosa
Lineage: Bacteria; Pseudomonadati; Pseudomonadota; Gammaproteobacteria; Pseudomonadales; Pseudomonadaceae
Description: bacterial SSU rRNA
Rfam family: Bacterial small subunit ribosomal RNA
Source: RNAcentral
AUUGAACGCUGGCGGCAGGCCUAACACAUGCAAGUCGAGCGGAUGAAGGGAGCUUGCUCCUGGAUUCAGCGGCGGACGGGUGAGUAAUGCCUAGGAAUCUGCCUGGUAGUGGGGGAUAACGUCCGGAAACGGGCGCUAAUACCGCAUACGUCCUGAGGGAGAAAGUGGGGGAUCUUCGGACCUCACGCUAUCAGAUGAGCCUAGGUCGGAUUAGCUAGUUGGUGGGGUAAAGGCCUACCAAGGCGACGAUCCGUAACUGGUCUGAGAGGAUGAUCAGUCACACUGGAACUGAGACACGGUCCAGACUCCUACGGAGCAGCAGUGGGGAAUAUUGGACAAUGGCGAAAGCCUGAUCCAGCCAUGCCGCGUGUGUGAAGAAGGUCUUCGGAUUGUAAAGCACUUUAAGUUGGGAGGAAGGGCAGUAAGUUAAUACCUUGCUGUUUUGACGUUACCAACAGAAUAAGCACCGCUAACUUCGUGCCAGCAGCCGCGGUAAUACGAAGGGUGCAAGCGUUAAUCGGAAUUACUGGGCGUAAAGCGCGCGUAGGUGGUUCAGCAAGUUGGAUGUGAAAAUCCCCGGGCUCAACCUGGGAACUGCAUCCAAAACUACUGAGCUAGAGUACGGUAGAGGGUGGUGGAAUUUCCUGUGUAGCGGUGAAAUGCGUAGAUAUAGGAAGGAACACCAGUGGCGAAGGCGACCACCUGGACUGAUACUGACACUGAGGUGCG